Long non-coding RNA from Cyprinus carpio (common carp), 445 nucleotides. RefSeq lists it as uncharacterized. The record is from RefSeq and is a predicted model, not a curated record. NCBI's taxonomy places the organism in Eukaryota, Metazoa, Chordata, Actinopteri, Cypriniformes, Cyprinidae. The transcript is spliced from 3 exons.
UCACCAGAACCAGCAAUAAAAUACUCAACACUGAGUAUGCCAAAGUUACCGCAAAGAAGUCUGUUGCAGAACAUGUGGACAUUGACGUCACAGAAGAACGACUGUCAAGUGAACUAAUGAACUUAAAGGUUGAUGCCUUGAGAAAACUUGUUAAAGAAUGUGGUGUGGAUUCAAAGGGCUCAAAAAUGGAUCUUCUCCUCCAUUUGAGGGAGGAGAUGAAAACAAGGAGCACUUAUAACAAAGUGUUUCAAAAAGUUUGGGGAGCAUCUGGUGGCUGGGCAGUUAUCAUGUGUCCUUGUGGCAUUGUGAACUCAGUCAAAUUCAACAUAAGAGCUGAAAGCCCACGUGAUUAUGCAGAUAUGUUGCUGUCAUUCCAACAUUUCCCAAACAUUGUCAUCUAUGAUUUUGCUCGAGGAUUAGUGACUCAUACCAACCUAAGGGAACC